This 487-nucleotide ribosomal RNA is filed under the name Erwinia amylovora. Its description in RNAcentral is "bacterial SSU rRNA". It matches the Rfam family "Bacterial small subunit ribosomal RNA", at positions 595 to 1083 of the family's 1533-position model. The record is from RNAcentral. Lineage: Bacteria; Pseudomonadati; Pseudomonadota; Gammaproteobacteria; Enterobacterales; Erwiniaceae.
UGAAAUCCCCGGGCUUAACCUGGGAACUGCAUUCGAAACUGCAGGCUAGAGUCUCGUAGAGGGGGGUAGAAUUCCAGGUGUAGCGGUGAAAUGCGUAGAGAUCUGGAGGAAUACCGGUGGCGAAGGCGGCCCCCUGGACGAAGACUGACGCUCAGGUGCGAAAGCGUGGGGAGCAAACAGGAUUAGAUACCCUGGUAGUCCACGCCGUAAACGAUGUCGACUUGGAGGCUGUUCCCUUGAGGAGUGGCUUCCGGAGCUAACGCGUUAAGUCGACCGCCUGGGGAGUACGGCCGCAAGGUUAAAACUCAAAUGAAUUGACGGGGGCCCGCACAAGCGGUGGAGCAUGUGGUUUAAUUCGAUGCAACGCGAAGAACCUUACCUGGCCUUGACAUCCACGGAAUUCUGCAGAGAUGCGGAAUGCCUUCGGGAACCGUGAGACAGGUGCUGCAUGGCUGUCUUCAGCUCGUGUUGUGAAAUGUUGGGUUAA